This is a non-coding RNA of Manis javanica (Malayan pangolin), 299 nucleotides long. NCBI's taxonomy places the organism in Eukaryota, Metazoa, Chordata, Mammalia, Pholidota, Manidae. The record is from RefSeq and is a predicted model, not a curated record.
UUACUGCCAAAAGUGGUCAUGGGGUUAUUUUUAAACAUGGGGGAGGAAGUAUUUAUUGUUCCUGGGCCGAGGUGAACUGGGCAGCCUGUGGGAUUCUUCCAGGGAAGGAGUGCCCUGUCCUUCUCCACCAUGCCACCCAAGAAAGCCAAGAAGAGAGCAGAGGGCGCCAAUUCCAAUGUGUUCUCCAUGUUUGAACAGACCCAGAUCCAGGAGUUUAAGGAGGCCUUCACCAUCAUGGACCAGAACAGGGAUGGCUUCAUUGACAAGAAUGAUCUGAGAGACACCUUUGCUGCUCUUGG